UACGUAGGGGGCUAGCGUUGUCCGGAAUCAUUGGGCGUAAAGAGCGUGUAGGCGGCCCGGUAAGUCCGCUGUGAAAGUCGGGGGCUCAACCCUCGAAUGCCGGUGGAUACUGUCGGGCUAGAGUGCGGAAGAGGCGAGUGGAAUUCCUGGUGUAGCGGUGAAAUGCGCAGAUAUCAGGAGGAACACCGGUGGCGAAGGCGCUCACUAAGCAGUUAUUGACGCUGAGGCACGAAAGCGUGGGGAUCAAACAGG
Molecule: ribosomal RNA, 252 nt
Filed under: uncultured bacterium
Lineage: Bacteria
Description: partial 16S ribosomal RNA
Rfam family: Bacterial small subunit ribosomal RNA
Source: RNAcentral